This 612-nucleotide ribosomal RNA is filed under the name Gordonia sp. (in: high G+C Gram-positive bacteria). RNAcentral's name for it is "bacterial SSU rRNA". It matches the Rfam family "Bacterial small subunit ribosomal RNA", at positions 262 to 885 of the family's 1533-position model. Lineage: Bacteria; Bacillati; Actinomycetota; Actinomycetes; Mycobacteriales; Gordoniaceae. The record is from RNAcentral.
GGGCCUCCAAGCGACGACGGGUAGCCGACCUGAGAGGGUGAUCGGCCACACUGGGACUGAGACACGGCCCAUACUCCUACGGGAGGCAGCAGUGGGGAAUAUUGCACAAUGGGCGCAAGCCUGAUGCAGCGACGCCGCGUGAGGGAUGACGGCCUUCGGGUUGUAAACCUCUUUCACCAGGGACGAAGCGUGAGUGACGGUACCUGGAGAAGAAGCACCGGCCAACUACGUGCCAGCAGCCGCGGUAAUACGUAGGGUGCGAGCGUUGUCCGGAAUUACUGGGCGUAAAGAGCUCGUAGGCGGUUUGUCGCGUCGUCUGUGAAAUUCUGCAACUCAAUUGCAGGCGUGCAGGCGAUACGGGCAGACUUGAGUACUACAGGGGAGACUGGAAUUCCUGGUGUAGCGGUGAAAUGCGCAGAUAUCAGGAGGAACACCGGUGGCGAAGGCGGGUCUCUGGGUAGUAACUGACGCUGAGGAGCGAAAGCGUGGGUAGCGAACAGGAUUAGAUACCCUGGUAGUCCACGCCGUAAACGGUGGGUACUAGGUGUGGGUUCCUUUUCACGGGAUCCGUGCCGUAGCUAACGCAUUAAGUACCCCGCCUGGGGAGUACGG